UACGAAGGGGGCUAGCGUUGUUCGGAAUCACUGGGCGUAAAGGGCGCGUAGGCGGCUUUGUAAGUCGGGGGUGAAAGCCUGUGGCUCAACCACAGAAUUGCCUUCGAUACUGCAUGGCUUGAGACCGGAAGAGGUUAGUGGAACUGCGAGUGUAGAGGUGAAAUUCGUAGAUAUUCGCAAGAACACCAGUGGCGAAGGCGGCUCACUGGCCCGGAACUGACGCUGAGGUGCGAAAGCGUGGGGAGCAAACAGG
Molecule: ribosomal RNA, 253 nt
Filed under: uncultured bacterium
Lineage: Bacteria
Description: partial 16S ribosomal RNA
Rfam family: Bacterial small subunit ribosomal RNA
Source: RNAcentral